Long non-coding RNA from Bombus impatiens (common eastern bumble bee), 3457 nucleotides. RefSeq lists it as uncharacterized. The transcript is spliced from 2 exons. NCBI's taxonomy places the organism in Eukaryota, Metazoa, Arthropoda, Insecta, Hymenoptera, Apidae. The record is from RefSeq and is a predicted model, not a curated record.
UUAAAAAGAAAUACAAAAUGGGUAAUAGCGAAAAUAAACGAAGGAGGGAGGAGAGGAUCGCCAGGUUGCUCGAGUUAUUCGCGUAUGAGACGAUUAAUCGAGAAUAUAGGGAAUUAGCGGCGCGUGCAAAAUGUUUGCGCGAAACUACCGUCUGCCCACGUGGUGUUCCUUUAAUCGGAAAAAUAUCGGCAAAAAUCGGAUCGCACGGAGCGUAUGUAGGUCGUUGAAAAAGAAAUCCUGGUCGUGUUACAUAACGACGCGAAUUAUGGAAGAUUAAUUACAUCGGUCGGCACGUUGCUUUUUCUCCGCUAAACUGCGAGCCUUUUUGUUCUCGAAGGUCUGUUGUUCCGGUUUGUACCGUUGAUUUUUAUUAGCGUUGAUUAAGAAAACACAAAGUUGCUAAAUACGAUAUUCUGGAUCGCGCAUACAACGUUUGAGAAGAAACGUCGAAAUACUUUAGUUUUUUAGUUAGUUAGCUUUGGUGUAUUUAGUUUAAAAAUCCAAAGAGUUUGGACGCGGAUUUCCUUCUUCGAUUGGAGACGUUUUUGAAUUACGAAUAAACUUAAAGACGAUCGUUUGCAUUUAUGAGCGAGAGCGUGUAAAAAUACUCGUGACUCGAACCUGUUACAGGCGAGAGAUUUCUAUAGUUGGAAAACGGGAUAUUUUCUACCUGCGAUCAAAAAUGGAUAUCCCUUUGAAAUUUAGCUUUCGAAUUUUUAAUUCUGGAUUCAAUCUUUGGAUCGAUUCUCAUACGCGGGUAUACUCGAUGGGUAAUAAAUUUGAAUUUGUCGCUAGCUGUUAUAAACGAGAAAUUGUUUCGAUUUGAAAAUAAAAUACCUUCUAUGUUCGAUCAAAGUAAAGUAUCGCUUUAGUUUUCCAAAUCUUAAGCCGUACGAAACACGCAACAGGACGAUGGAUAUUCCUUUAAUAUUCUCUCAAAUCUCGAAACAUAGCGUACGUAUCUACGUUAUUUACGGUUAAUGCGCGCAUGUAACUACGCUUAAUAGAACAAAAAUAACGUAUCAAUCUCUUCUUGAAUUCGAGUUUAUACGUUUGUUAUGAUUCGAUAUUUUAUCGUUGUCAACGAAAAAGCCGCACGAUCUUUUUUCGCUACCUAAUCGAUGUUCGAUAUCCGGAUUUGUCGUCAUCUUCACAUAAAAUUUACGAUUCGUUGUUCUUAUAAAAAUUCAUUAAAAAUUAUCACCUAUAUUGGAAUAUAACGAUUGAAAAUCAUAUAUAAUUCGUAUAAUUACAGUAACUACGAUAAAACGCUCGUUAGAAUCGGCUAACGAUUAACGCGAGCAUUCGCGUGAUCGAUGCACAAAAUUGCAAAUGAUGUUGCAUCGAUAACGCGACGGGUCAAAGGCUAACGAAUAUUUGGGCGAACCGACUUCUCCUCCGGCACGCAUCCGGCAAACAUAUCGGUCGACCGCGUUCGGCAUCGCUUGUAAUCUGCUAACGAUGUCGCAUUUCUCUCGCUUUGAAAUUGCACGGGGAACCGUAUCGAUUUUGCGACAGCGGAAGACAUAUAACGUGAUAACUAGCGACGUGAAAAAUUGCGUUGCACCGCGAACAAGUCCGCGACAAUAAUAAAGGGCCUCUCCGACUGCUCUCUCGUUACCGUGCAAGUAAUUUCUAUCGAAGAAUUUCCAACAACCACGAAAACGGAUAAUAAAUGGCAAUUAGAUUUUUAUCGCGCCUGCCCUUAUAGCGUGAUAUCAGCUUGAUCGUGUUCUUGUCGAAACGAAAGAAAUCGACCGUUAUGAUCGAAACUUCUAUUCUCUCGUAUAUCAGUCAUCGUCGGACGUGUAGCAUCGUCUAGAUCUUUUUAUCUUUAUGGCUUAAAAUAUAUUCGUUGAAUUAUUUUCCGUCGCUUUUCGAAACACCACCACUGACAAAUUAAUACGGCCAGCCUGCGUUAAGUCAAAUAACCGUCUUUAUCGAGUACUCUUGUACUCGGGGCAAAGAAGAAAGUUGCGCGGCUCGUUGUUCUAGAAUUAACAGCUUCGCUAAAAAGUUAAACAACCUGUAAUAUCCCAUAUCUAACGGUUUGCUAGAGUUUAAUCAGUUCCCGAGUGCCGGCUAAGCGGAUCUGAUUUUCUUUUAUGCGAUCUUUCGUGCGCAUAUUUAAAUCGUACCGAUCGCAGCUUCUUCCCUCUUUUCUUUCAUACCGGUUUUGCGCCGAAGAAACCGAUGGCUAUAAGACCGGCCAGAAAGAAGCGUACACGUACGUAUGUUUUCGUCGGGCAAACAGUUUAGACGAGUUUCCCCUUUUUCACUCUUUAACCACCGAGCGACGUAAAUGUCAGGAAAUCAACAAGAACGGACUUAUCAUAUUUUUCUCCGUGUGUUUUUCAUAUUUUAUAUAAGGCGGUAAUAUCGCUACGUUUACUUUUCAUCUUUAAAAUACCGCGAGAUAUUCCUUUUUUUACAAAAUGAAGCUACUUGGACGAUAUUAUUCCACGCGUGACAUUAUUGAAAAACUCGCGACAUAGAAAAACGGAAGUAACGAAUUUGCCUAAAUGUUCGAAUAUUUAAAGUCAUUGUUCUCGUUAGCUUAUCCUUUUCCAAAAGCUAUCCGUUAAAGAGCCGCCAAGGAUUUCUAGGCUAAUACUAUGAAAUGAAAAGUUACUUUACAAAUUCUUUGAUAAAGUCGCGCGUACAGUGGCUACCGUUGAAUUCUUCUUCGUUGUCCGCUAUUCCUUUCGCUACGCCCUUUGUGCAAUUAUUUAUAUGGUAUAUGUAAUAUCACGUAUGGUAAAUGUAGUAUCAAGUAAUAACAGUGAAAAUUAUUUAAAGUAUUCGACAUAUAUUAAAAACGCCGCCAUCGCGGAAAUAAAACGACGAUCCUUAAACAUCGUAUCACUGGCCGGAAACUUGAGAAAUCUAGCGUCGCGUUUGGAAAAUGUCUGCGGAAGUAAUAAAAGGGAGGGACACGAUACGAGUUUAUAUGGAAACACGACGCAAUUUAUAAGGAAAAAAUACGUCGAUGUAACGCUUCGCUGUUUCUUUCAAGUUUCUUAGUAUCGUGUACCAGAAGUCAGCCACGCUCGCGGAAUAAAAAUAUCGGAAACAUCGAUUCUCACGAAAAAAGCAUCGGCGGUUUUCUAUCGAAAAUAGGAAACACGCGCGAAUAGAUAUGCCAUCGAUAUUUCUCCCUCUAUAGUGCGAAUCGUUAAAAGAGUCAAGAGAAAGUCGUUUGUCGGUUAAUAAGAGAGGAUCCGAGGGAUAGGAUAUCCGAGCGAUGUUCUAUCUUCCUUGAUUAAAACGGUCCUGUCUAGCAUUUUUUCGCCUUUUGAAAAGAUCACGUACGUAUCUAAAUGACGAUAAAUAAAUAACUGAAAACAAAUUUAAUUUUGCGUCAGAAAGACGCUAAAAUCGUCAAAGGAAGAUUUUCUAUCGUUGGACUUUUAAUUUGAUAUGUAAAAACCUACCCGCGAACCGACGUUCGUUCCUA